GUUUCUAUGGACUCAGCCAUGUUUUCUGUGCUGUUGGGGGUCAUCAUUAAUGCAGGAUGUUGCACAGCCAGCAGAACUUCCGAAGAUGAGUGGCAAUGCAGCUGGAGGACAGUUCUGUACUCUGCUUCACAGACUGCAAGUGACAAGCCCUGCUCGGAGCCUUUGCUGCUACGGUCAUGGUUUCCGUCAGUCCUCAUCUGUGGAAGCCCUUCAAAGACCAGGAGGGCAGGCUACUUAACGCAGAGGAAAUAUGGAACCCUCGUCAUUCCUGGAAAGUGAGAGAAGAAUGUCCCAGUGGCCAACUUUGGAUGUGAUUCCAUGCCGUUCUGAGAAAUUUUGUGCCGCCUUUGAAUUCCCACCCAAACUUAUGCAGUAGAAUCACACCCAGAAAGCUCCCCAAGCUGUCCUUCCCACAAAACAGCCCAGCACCGUGUUUUGUUGUCCCAACAAUUUGUUUGUUUUCCCUCAUCCUACAUGGUUUUCCUUGGGAAGAGCUGGACCCCUCAUUCCAACUCAGUGUAUCCCAACCUGGUUUAGCACCACUAUAGUUUAAGACCUGCUGCUCACUGUUUGGUCGGUUCCUAGUUCAGCUCUGGAACACACACACACACACACACACACACACACACACACACACACACACACACUGCAAAUAAAAUCACUUUUCCGUUGGUAGCACAGACACUACAGGAUUUUGUUCCUACUCCUUCUCCUUCUCAUGAUGAAAUGACCCAUCUAUCUAAUUCUCCUGACUUUUUCACCUGCUCAGAAGUGACAAAGUGUUCUGCUCUGCU
Molecule: long non-coding RNA, 794 nt
Organism: Peromyscus eremicus (cactus mouse)
Lineage: Eukaryota; Metazoa; Chordata; Mammalia; Rodentia; Cricetidae
Exons: 3
Source: RefSeq, a predicted model, not a curated record